Molecule: ribosomal RNA, 253 nt
Filed under: uncultured bacterium
Lineage: Bacteria
Description: partial 16S ribosomal RNA
Rfam family: Bacterial small subunit ribosomal RNA
Source: RNAcentral
UACGGAGGGUGCGAGCGUUUAUCGGAAUUACUGGGCGUAAAGCGUGCGUAGGCGGAUGCUUGAGUCGGAUGUGAAAGCCCCGGGCUCAACCUGGGAAUGGCAUUCGAUACUGGGCAUCUAGAGUGUGGUAGAGGGGGGUGGAAUUCCUGGUGUAGCGGUGAAAUGCGUAGAUAUCAGGAGGAAUUUCGAAGGAUACGGCGACCACCGAGACCAACACUGACGCUGAGGUACGAAAGCGUGGGUAGCAAACAGG